RNAcentral lists this ribosomal RNA (2899 nucleotides) under Escherichia coli DEC11E. Its description in RNAcentral is "bacterial LSU rRNA". It matches the Rfam family "Bacterial large subunit ribosomal RNA". The record is from RNAcentral. Lineage: Bacteria; Pseudomonadati; Pseudomonadota; Gammaproteobacteria; Enterobacterales; Enterobacteriaceae.
UAAGCGACUAAGCGUACACGGUGGAUGCCCUGGCAGUCAGAGGCGAUGAAGGACGUGCUAAUCUGCGAUAAGCGUCGGUAAGGUGAUAUGAACCGUUAUAACCGGCGAUUUCCGAAUGGGGAAACCCAGUGUGAUUCGUCACACUAUCAUUAACUGAAUCCAUAGGUUAAUGAGGCGAACCGGGGGAACUGAAACAUCUAAGUACCCCGAGGAAAAGAAAUCAACCGAGAUUCCCCCAGUAGCGGCGAGCGAACGGGGAGCAGCCCAGAGCCUGAAUCAGUGUGUGUGUUAGUGGAAGCGUCUGGAAAGGCGCGCGAUACAGGGUGACAGCCCCGUACACAAAAAUGCACAUACUGUGAGCUCGAUGAGUAGGGCGGGACACGUGGUAUCCUGUCUGAAUAUGGGGGGACCAUCCUCCAAGGCUAAAUACUCCUGACUGACCGAUAGUGAACCAGUACCGUGAGGGAAAGGCGAAAAGAACCCCGGCGAGGGGAGUGAAAAAGAACCUGAAACCGUGUACGUACAAGCAGUGGGAGCACGCUUAGGCGUGUGACUGCGUACCUUUUGUAUAAUGGGUCAGCGACUUAUAUUCUGUAGCAAGGUUAACCGAAUAGGGGAGCCGAAGGGAAACCGAGUCUUAACUGGGCGUUAAGUUGCAGGGUAUAGACCCGAAACCCGGUGAUCUAGCCAUGGGCAGGUUGAAGGUUGGGUAACACUAACUGGAGGACCGAACCGACUAAUGUUGAAAAAUUAGCGGAUGACUUGUGGCUGGGGGUGAAAGGCCAAUCAAACCGGGAGAUAGCUGGUUCUCCCCGAAAGCUAUUUAGGUAGCGCCUCGUGAAUUCAUCUCCGGGGGUAGAGCACUGUUUCGGCAAGGGGGUCAUCCCGACUUACCAACCCGAUGCAAACUGCGAAUACCGGAGAAUGUUAUCACGGGAGACACACGGCGGGUGCUAACGUCCGUCGUGAAGAGGGAAACAACCCAGACCGCCAGCUAAGGUCCCAAAGUCAUGGUUAAGUGGGAAACGAUGUGGGAAGGCCCAGACAGCCAGGAUGUUGGCUUAGAAGCAGCCAUCAUUUAAAGAAAGCGUAAUAGCUCACUGGUCGAGUCGGCCUGCGCGGAAGAUGUAACGGGGCUAAACCAUGCACCGAAGCUGCGGCAGCGACACUGUGUGUUGUUGGGUAGGGGAGCGUUCUGUAAGCCUGCGAAGGUGUGCUGUGAGGCAUGCUGGAGGUAUCAGAAGUGCGAAUGCUGACAUAAGUAACGAUAAAGCGGGUGAAAAGCCCGCUCGCCGGAAGACCAAGGGUUCCUGUCCAACGUUAAUCGGGGCAGGGUGAGUCGACCCCUAAGGCGAGGCCGAAAGGCGUAGUCGAUGGGAAACAGGUUAAUAUUCCUGUACUUGGUGUUACUGCGAAGGGGGGACGGAGAAGGCUAUGUUGGCCGGGCGACGGUUGUCCCGGUUUAAGCGUGUAGGCUGGUUUUCCAGGCAAAUCCGGAAAAUCAAGGCUGAGGCGUGAUGACGAGGCACUACGGUGCUGAAGCAACAAAUGCCCUGCUUCCAGGAAAAGCCUCUAAGCAUCAGGUAACAUCAAAUCGUACCCCAAACCGACACAGGUGGUCAGGUAGAGAAUACCAAGGCGCUUGAGAGAACUCGGGUGAAGGAACUAGGCAAAAUGGUGCCGUAACUUCGGGAGAAGGCACGCUGAUAUGUAGGUGAAGUCCCUCGCGGAUGGAGCUGAAAUCAGUCGAAGAUACCAGCUGGCUGCAACUGUUUAUUAAAAACACAGCACUGUGCAAACACGAAAGUGGACGUAUACGGUGUGACGCCUGCCCGGUGCCGGAAGGUUAAUUGAUGGGGUCAGCGCAAGCGAAGCUCUUGAUCGAAGCCCCGGUAAACGGCGGCCGUAACUAUAACGGUCCUAAGGUAGCGAAAUUCCUUGUCGGGUAAGUUCCGACCUGCACGAAUGGCGUAAUGAUGGCCAGGCUGUCUCCACCCGAGACUCAGUGAAAUUGAACUCGCUGUGAAGAUGCAGUGUACCCGCGGCAAGACGGAAAGACCCCGUGAACCUUUACUAUAGCUUGACACUGAACAUUGAGCCUUGAUGUGUAGGAUAGGUGGGAGGCUUUGAAGUGUGGACGCCAGUCUGCAUGGAGCCGGCCUUGAAAUACCACCCUUUAAUGUUUGAUGUUCUAACGUUGACCCGUGAUCCGGGUUGCGGACAGUGUCUGGUGGGUAGUUUGACUGGGGCGGUCUCCUCCUAAAGAGUAACGGAGGAGCACGAAGGUUGGCUAAUCCUGGUCGGACAUCAGGAGGUUAGUGCAAUGGCAUAAGCCAGCUUGACUGCGAGCGUGACGGCGCGAGCAGGUGCGAAAGCAGGUCAUAGUGAUCCGGUGGUUCUGAAUGGAAGGGCCAUCGCUCAACGGAUAAAAGGUACUCCGGGGAUAACAGGCUGAUACCGCCCAAGAGUUCAUAUCGACGGCGGUGUUUGGCACCUCGAUGUCGGCUCAUCACAUCCUGGGGCUGAAGUAGGUCCCAAGGGUAUGGCUGUUCGCCAUUUAAAGUGGUACGCGAGCUGGGUUUAGAACGUCGUGAGACAGUUCGGUCCCUAUCUGCCGUGGGCGCUGGAGAACUGAGGGGGGCUGCUCCUAGUACGAGAGGACCGGAGUGGACGCAUCACUGGUGUUCGGGUUGUCAUGCCAAUGGCACUGCCCGGUAGCUAAAUGCGGAAGAGAUAAGUGCUGAAAGCAUCUAAGCACGAAACUUGCCCCGAGAUGAGUUCUCCCUGACUCCUUGAGAGUCCUGAAGGAACGUUGAAGACGACGACGUUGAUAGGCCGGGUGUGUAAGCGCAGCGAUGCGUUGAGCUAACCGGUACUAAUGAACCGUGAGGCUUAACCU